RNAcentral lists this ribosomal RNA (253 nucleotides) under uncultured bacterium. RNAcentral describes it as "partial 16S ribosomal RNA". It matches the Rfam family "Bacterial small subunit ribosomal RNA", at positions 524 to 776 of the family's 1533-position model. The record is from RNAcentral.
UACGUAGGCAGCGAGCGUUGUUCGGAGUUACUGGGCGUAAAGGGUGUGUAGGCGGUUUUCUAAGUUUGGUGUGAAAUCUCCCGGCUCAACCGGGAGGGUGCGCCGAAAACUGGGAGACUAGAGUGCGGGAUGGGAGAGUAGAAUUCCCGGUGUAGUGGUGAAAUGCGUAGAUAUCGGGAGGAACACCAGUGGCGAAGGCGACUACCUGGCCUGUUCUUGACGCUGAGGCGCGAAAGCUAGGGGAGCAAACGGG